UUGAGAUUAAAAUAGAUGUGAAUUCAAGAAUGACGGAAUUUCAAUCCGUACUUCUAAGUACAUGUUAAUCCUCCGGAGAUUACCGUGAUUGAUGCUAGUUAUAAAAGACGAGAAUGAUGCUACAGAUCGCAGUUUAAUAGUAUAAUUAUGGCACGCCGAGUAGUAUUUUUGCUCGUUUUCUUUGUGGUUUUUGUUUUGGCAUCUUGUCUUGACAAAACAAGAGCUGCUGGAGGAGUGCAAGUUAGAGAUGAAGAUAUUCGAUACUCGAAAGAGUUUUACUACGAGCUUCUUCUCUAUAUAAAAGAACAUCACCUUAUGGAUUUGGAUGAUUGUCCUCACUGGCAGUGUUUUGACGAACACACGUGUGUAGAUCUAUGCGAUGCUGGACUGUGGCCUUAAUAUUUUUGUUUAACAUUGUUUAAUUAAACUUAUAAUAAAACUAUACGUGUUACUGGUGACGAACAAA
Long non-coding RNA from Zophobas morio, 466 nucleotides. RefSeq lists it as uncharacterized. NCBI's taxonomy places the organism in Eukaryota, Metazoa, Arthropoda, Insecta, Coleoptera, Tenebrionidae. The transcript has 4 exons. The record is from RefSeq and is a predicted model, not a curated record.